Molecule: ribosomal RNA, 403 nt
Filed under: uncultured bacterium
Lineage: Bacteria
Description: partial 16S ribosomal RNA
Rfam family: Bacterial small subunit ribosomal RNA
Source: RNAcentral
AUUGAACGCUGGCGGCAGGCCUAACACAUGCAAGUCGAGCGAGCGGCGGACGGGUGAGUAAUGUAUGGGGACUGCCCGAUAGAGGGGGAUAACUACUGGAAACGGUGGCUAAUACCGCAUACGGUCGGAUAACCCAUAUGGGAUUAGCUAGUAGGUAAGGUAAUGGCUUACCUAGGCGACGAUCCCUAGCUGGUCUGAGAGGAUGAUCAGCCACACUGGGACUGUGACACGGCCACGACUCCUACGGAGGCAGCAGUGGGGAAUAUUGCCCAAUGGGCUCAAUCCUGAUGCAGCCAUGCCGCGUAUAUGAAGAAGGCCCUCGGGUUGUAAAGUACUUUCAGUCGGGAGGCAUUACCGACAGAAGAAGCACCGGCUAACUCCGUGCCAGCAGCCGCGGUAAUAC